GAUGAACGCUGGCGGCGUGCCUAAUACAUGCAAGUCGAGCGAACAGACGAGGAGCUUGCUCCUCUGACGUUAGCGGCGGACGGGUGAGUAACACGUGGAUAACCUACCUAUAAGACUGGGAUAACUUCGGGAAACCGGAGCUAAUACCGUAUAACAUGUUGAACCGCAUGGUUCAACAGUGAAAGACGGUCUUGCUGUCACUUAUAGAUGGAUCCGCGCCGCAUUAGCUAGUUGGUAAGGUAACGGCUUACCAAGGCAACGAUGCGUAGCCGACCUGAGAGGGUGGUCGGCCACACUGGAACUGGGACACGGUCCAGACUCCUACGGGAGGCAGCAGUAGGGAAUCUUCCGCAAUGGGCGAAAGCCUGACGGAGCAACGCCGCGUGAGUGAAGAAGGUCUUCGGAUCGUAAAACUCUGUUAUUAGGGAAGAACAAAUGUGUAAGUAACUAUGCACGUCUUGACGGUACCUAAUCAGAAAGCCACGGCUAACUACGUG
Molecule: ribosomal RNA, 497 nt
Filed under: uncultured bacterium
Lineage: Bacteria
Description: partial 16S ribosomal RNA
Rfam family: Bacterial small subunit ribosomal RNA
Source: RNAcentral